RNAcentral lists this unclassified non-coding RNA (723 nucleotides) under Bombus terrestris (buff-tailed bumblebee). RNAcentral's name for it is "misc RNA ENSBTSG00005033681.1". The record is from RNAcentral. Lineage: Eukaryota; Metazoa; Arthropoda; Insecta; Hymenoptera; Apidae.
CGGACUGUUUAUGAGAUCGAUGCUUCAUGCGGAGGCGUCUCGCGUGACGUGUGCUCGGUACCGGCGUAGUGUCCUGGUCUUGUCGACUCAAGAUCUCACCGGAACCUUCUACGUAUAUUGACUGUAUAUCAUCGGCGCUCGUUCGAACGUUCGAACAUUUUCGAGAGAAUCGAGAUCGCUGAUCGAGCGACUGAGAUUCCGUCGACCACGUGGACGCAGACAGAGUGUUUCUUUAGUGGGAUUCGAUACGCAAACGGGAAGUAGGUGUCUACCGAAGUUGUUCUGUGGGCUAGUGGUGAAGUGGUGGGAAGAUCACCGUUCGCCUGGCUGCUCGUCGAAGCUACGUCUGGGUAUCAAGGUGCAGCGUUCCUAAUCUUCCUCUUCGUUCAACAUGCUGCCCUUUGCCACAUGCCAUUCCUAAUAGCAAAUGCGAUUCCUCUCUUCUGGUGCUGCCAUGCCGGCCUCAGCGUGGCCAACGACGUAUUAGCAUAGCAGAUCCUACUAGCCGUGACAGCACUUCCUCUGAUAACGCCUUCAGAAUUUUUUACGAGAUCCGCGGUCCCGAUAGCAACGCCAGAUUGCGGAUAAUGAAUUCGGUCCACCUGACGCGGAACGUAAGCUUGGAUGGAAAUCAUGAAAGAGUGACUGGAUCGAAAAUAACGAGACACUGUCCAAGAUACUGUCUCUGUUCCGCAUCGUGGAAACCAAUCGAACUACAUCAUC